GUGGUCAGGUGGCACCUUACUGGUCUCCUGAUACGUCCUCAAUACGCUCAAAGCUAUUAUCCAAAGCAAGCAGGAUCAGUGGGAUAACUCAUGAGGAGACUGAUGUUGAGGAACUUGAAAUGUUGCUUGAGGCGUACUUUGUGCAAAUUGAAAGCACGAUGAACAAAUUGACAACGCUGCGCGAAUAUAUUGAUGACACUGAGGACUAUAUCAAUAUUCAGCUGGACAAUCAUCGAAAU
Molecule: unclassified non-coding RNA, 239 nt
Filed under: Hevea brasiliensis (rubber tree)
Lineage: Eukaryota; Viridiplantae; Streptophyta; Magnoliopsida; Malpighiales; Euphorbiaceae
Source: RNAcentral